Molecule: ribosomal RNA, 402 nt
Filed under: uncultured bacterium
Lineage: Bacteria
Description: bacterial SSU rRNA
Rfam family: Bacterial small subunit ribosomal RNA
Source: RNAcentral
UGGGGAAUUUUGGACAAUGGGCGCAAGCCUGAUCCAGCCAUGCCGCGUGCGGGAAGAAGGCCUUCGGGUUGUAAACCGCUUUUGUCAGGGAAGAAAUUGCUCGGGCUAAUACCCUGGGCCGAUGACGGUACCUGAAGAAUAAGCACCGGCUAACUACGUGCCAGCAGCCGCGGUAAUAUGUAGGGUGCGAGCGUUAAUCGGAAUUACUGGGCGUAAAGCGUGCGCAGGCGGUCGUGCAAGACAGAUGUGAAAUCCCCGGGCUCAACCUGGGAACUGCAUUUGUGACUGCACGGCUUGAGUACGGUAGAGGAGGAUGGAAUUCCGCGUGUAGCAGUGAAAUGCGUAGAUAUGCGAGGAACACCGAUGGCGAAGGCAGUCCCCUGGGCCUGUACUGACGCUCAU